This 239-nucleotide ribosomal RNA is filed under the name Glomus sp. (unid). Lineage: Eukaryota; Fungi; Glomeromycota; Glomeromycetes; Glomerales; Glomeraceae. The record is from RNAcentral.
CAGUCGUACCGACGAGAAAUCAACCUUUCGAGUGCGAACUUGUGGGCGUGCGUGAGUCUUUAACGGGCCUCGCUGUUUGCAAUGUUUGUCCUUUUGGGGUGUACUUUUUCGUAUGGUAGGCCAACGUCAGUUUCGAUCACUGGAGAAAGGCUAGUUGAAUGUGGCAUCCUCGGAUGUGUUAUAGCUUCUAGUCAUAUACAGUGGUUGGGACUGGAGGACUCAGCACGCCGACAAGGUCC